AUUGAACGCUGGCGGCAUGCCUUACACAUGCAAGUCGAACGGCAGCGGGCCUUCGGGUGCCGGCGAGUGGCGAACGGGUGAGUAAUGCAUCGGAACGUGCCAUUGAGUGGGGGGAUAACGUAGCGAAAGUUACGCUAAUACCGCAUAUUCUGUGAGCAGGAAAGCAGGGGGACCGCAAGGCCUUGCGCUCUUUGAGCGGCCGAUGUCAGAUUAGCUAGUUGGUGAGGUAAAGGCUUACCAAGGCGACGAUCUGUAGCGGGUCUGAGAGGAUGAUCCGCCACACUGGAACUGAGACACGGUCCAGACUCCUACGGGAGGCAGCAGUGGGGAAUUUUGGACAAUGGGCGCAAGCCUGAUCCAGCCAUGCCGCGUGAGUGAAGAAGGCCUUCGGGUUGUUAAAGGCUC
RNAcentral lists this ribosomal RNA (405 nucleotides) under uncultured bacterium. RNAcentral describes it as "bacterial SSU rRNA". It matches the Rfam family "Bacterial small subunit ribosomal RNA", at positions 30 to 433 of the family's 1533-position model. The record is from RNAcentral.